RNAcentral lists this ribosomal RNA (1332 nucleotides) under Triticum aestivum (bread wheat). RNAcentral describes it as "partial small subunit ribosomal RNA". Lineage: Eukaryota; Viridiplantae; Streptophyta; Magnoliopsida; Poales; Poaceae. The record is from RNAcentral.
AUGCUGGCCGCCGCCGCCUCCGUGAAGUUCUCCCCGGCGUCCGCCGGUACCAGUAGCACCACCAAGUUGGCCUUCAAGCCUGUCCACCUCCCUUUCCUCCCCAACGCCGUCCCGCGUCCCCUCUCCCUCUCGGCGCGUCCUCUGUACCGCCAGGAGCCGUUCCUGGCGGCGGCCCGCAACGACCGUGCCGCGUCAACGGCGCCCCCUGCAGCCACCGCGGAUGGCGCGCGGCCGGUGGAGACGGCGGCCGCGCCGGAGGCCGCGAAGAGCGCCAAGAUCGGGGUCUACUUCGCCACGUGGUGGGCGCUGAACGUGAUCUUCAACAUAUACAACAAGAAGGUGCUGAAUGCGUUCCCGUACCCGUGGCUCACGUCGACCCUGUCCCUGGCCGCCGGCUCCGCCAUCAUGCUCGUGUCCUGGGCCACCAGGAUCGCCGAGGCGCCCCAGACGGACCUCGAUUUCUGGAAGGCUCUCUCUCCGGUGGCGAUUGCGCACACGAUCGGGCACGUGGCGGCGACGGUGAGCAUGGCGAAGGUGGCCGUGUCCUUCACGCACAUCAUCAAGAGCGCGGAGCCGGCGUUCAGCGUGCUCGUCUCGAGAUUCUUCCUCGGCGAGCACUUCCCGUUGCCGGUCUACUUCUCCCUCCUCCCGAUCAUAGGUGGAUGCGCUCUCGCGGCCGUCACCGAGCUCAAUUUCAACAUGAUUGGAUUCCUGGGGGCGAUGAUCUCCAACCUGGCUUUUGUGUUCCGGAACAUAUUCUCCAAGAAAGGGAUGAAGGGCAAGUCGGUGAGCGGGAUGAACUACUAUGCCUGCCUCUCCAUGCUGUCCCUGGUGAUCCUCCUCCCUUUCGCCUUCGCCAUGGAGGGCCCCAAGGUGUGGGCUGCAGGCUGGCAGAAUGCAGUCGCCGAGAUCGGUCCCAACUUCGUCUGGUGGGUGGCGGCGCAGAGCGUGUUCUACCACCUGUACAACCAGGUGUCGUACAUGUCGCUGGACGAGAUCUCGCCGCUGACAUUCAGCGUGGGCAACACCAUGAAGCGCAUCUCGGUCAUCGUCGCGUCCAUCAUCAUCUUCCGCACGCCGGUGCAGCCCGUCAACGCGCUCGGGGCGGCCAUCGCCAUCCUCGGAACCUUCAUCUACUCCCAGGUGAUCCAUCUCACACGUCUCACUUACCUCACCGCGUACGUAAGGAAGAAGGAAGCAAGCAAUUCAGAAUUUGACACUAAAACUUUGUUGGCCUCGUGUUGCAGGCAAAGCAGUAAGGGAAAACCAUCGAAACGAUGUCUCUUCCGACGAGAGUCGGCCCGGCGGCGUUCGGACACUAUAUGUUGUUGA